Molecule: ribosomal RNA, 121 nt
Filed under: Pseudohongiella sp.
Lineage: Bacteria; Pseudomonadati; Pseudomonadota; Gammaproteobacteria; Pseudomonadales; Pseudohongiellaceae
Description: partial 16S ribosomal RNA
Rfam family: Bacterial small subunit ribosomal RNA
Source: RNAcentral
GGUUUCACCAGAAGCAGGUAGUCUAACCGUAAGGAGGGCGCUUGCCACGGUGAGGUUCAUGACUGGGGUGAAGUCGUAACAAGGUAGCCGUAUCGGAAGGUGCGGCUGGAUCACCUCCUUU